Molecule: long non-coding RNA, 695 nt
Organism: Meleagris gallopavo (turkey)
Lineage: Eukaryota; Metazoa; Chordata; Aves; Galliformes; Phasianidae
Source: RefSeq, a predicted model, not a curated record
CCAUUUCCAUAAACAAAUUAAUUCUUCAGUGAGAAAUCUGCAAGUGAAGAUGCUUCCAGAAAAGCAGCACUGGGGUCAUUCUCCACUGCAGGGCUGAAUCAUCUGUCCCAACAUGUCAGUGGAGUUGCCUGACAGGAGACUCCCUUUCAUCAGUGAGAUGUAGCGAUAAUUCUUUAUCUAUCUGGGAUGUGAAAUUUCUUUAGUUCUGCAUUCUCAAACCGCUCAACUGAAGCCAAUACCUUUCUUUUCAAAGUUCCUAGUUCUCUCACAAGGAGGCACAUUUUCUUGACCUGAUUUUCACAGUACUUUCAGAGUGAAGAACUUCAGAGCCAUCCCCCAAGUCCUUACAGUAUAUGUUUGUUUUUCAGGUCUUACUCAAGGUACUAAGCAAGAAUAACUUGACAACUGUGCAACAACUUGCCACUGAAGGGAUGUGUCUUCAGAAUCAAGAUUUAAAACAGAAGCAAUGCUGAAAGGAGCUCAUCCAUCCCCAGCCAAACAUACUUGCUUCCUUCUGUCUGCACUGGUGUUUAUACAACCGUGGUUCUGGCUGAAAAAUUACACAAUGCUGCAAACAGAAGAUUCAUGUUCAACCAGAACACGGUUGUAUUAUUUACAGAUAUGGUACAAUUUCCAUUAAAUAAGAGAGGAUUUUUCAGACUGAAAAAAGAGACAACUGGAAGGAUAUAACAGAG